This 450-nucleotide ribosomal RNA is filed under the name uncultured bacterium. RNAcentral describes it as "partial 16S ribosomal RNA". It matches the Rfam family "Bacterial small subunit ribosomal RNA", at positions 338 to 795 of the family's 1533-position model. The record is from RNAcentral.
CCUACGGGGGGCUGCAGUCGAGAAUCUUCGGCAAUGGGCGCAAGCCUGACCGAGCGACGCCGCGUGCGGGAUGAAGGCCUUCGGGUUGUAAACCGCUGUCAGAGGGGAGGAAAUGCAUGGGAGUUCUCUCUCGUGUUUGACCUAUCCUCAGAGGAAGUACGGGCUAAGUUCGUGCCAGCAGCCGCGGUAAUCCGAACCGUACGAACGUUAUUCGGAUUCACUGGGCUUAAAGCGUGCGUAGGCGGCUGGGGAAAUCCCUCGGCUCAACCGAGGAAUUGCGCCCAAAACUACCUGGCUUGAGGAAGAUAGAGGUAAGCGGAACUAAUGGUGGAGCGGUGAAAUGCGUUGAUAUCAUUAGGAACACCUGUGGCGAAAGCAGCUUACUGGGUCUUAUCUGACGCUGAGGCACGAAAGCUAGGGGAGCGAACGGGAUUAGAUACCCGUGUAGUC